RNAcentral lists this ribosomal RNA (551 nucleotides) under Prismognathus formosanus. RNAcentral describes it as "partial 16S ribosomal RNA". It matches the Rfam family "Archaeal large subunit ribosomal RNA", at positions 1890 to 2688 of the family's 2987-position model. The record is from RNAcentral. Lineage: Eukaryota; Metazoa; Arthropoda; Insecta; Coleoptera; Lucanidae.
GCCUGUUUAUCAAAAACAUGUCUUUUUGGGUAUUAUUUAAAGUCUGGCCUGCCCAAUGAUUUAUUUAAUGGCCGCGGUAUUUUGACCGUGCAAAGGUAGCAUAAUCAUUAGUUUUUUUAUUGAAAGCUGGAAUGAACGGUUUGACGAGAAAAUGACUGUCUUGGAUUAAUAAAGUUGAAUUUUACUUUUGAGUAAAAAGGCUCAAAUUAAUAUAAGGGACGAGAAGACCCUAUAGAAUUUUAUUAUUUUAUUAGGACAGUUAAAGUUUAGAAUUUUUAGUUCUGUAUUAGUAAAAUAAUUUUGUUGGGGCGAUAAAAAAAUUUGAUUAACUUUUUUUCUUUUUUGAACACUAAUUUGUGAUUAAUUGAUCUAUUACUAAUGAUUAUAAGAAUAAAUUACCUUAGGGAUAACAGCGUAAUUGAUUUGGAGAGUUCUUAUCGAUAAAUUAGUUUGCGACCUCGAUGUUGGAUUAAAAUUAACUUUUGGCGCAAGGGCUAAAAAGCUGAGUCUGUUCGACUUUUAAAAUUUUACAUGAUCUGAGUUUAAACCGG